GUGGGGGAUAUUGCACAAUGGGGGAAACCCUGAUGCAGCGACGCCGCGUGAGUGAAGGAGCGUUUCGGCGCGUAAAGCUCUAUCAGCAGGGAAGACAAACUGCCCCGGAAGGGGCAGCCGGACGGUACCUGACCAAGAAGCCCCGGCUAACUACGUGCCAGCAGCCGCGGUAAUACGUAGGGGGCAAGCGUUAUCCGGAUUUACUGGGUGUAAAGGGAGCGUAGACGGCAAGACAAGCCUGGAGUGAAAGGCGGGGGCCCAACCCCCGGACUGCUCUGGGAACUGUCUGGCUGGAGUGCAGGAGGGGUAAGUGGAAUUCCUAGUGUAGCGGUGAAAUGCGUAGAUAUUAGGAGGAACACCAGUGGCGAAGGCGGCUUACUGGACUGUAACUGACGUUGAGGCUCGAAAGCGUGGGGAGCAAACAGGA
This 427-nucleotide ribosomal RNA is filed under the name uncultured bacterium. RNAcentral's name for it is "bacterial SSU rRNA". It matches the Rfam family "Bacterial small subunit ribosomal RNA", at positions 354 to 777 of the family's 1533-position model. The record is from RNAcentral.